UUACAGCUUCCUCAUGAUGCAUCUUACAACAAUCUGAGCUGUGUGGUCUCUGCCAGCCCCUCCAACUACUGGAAAGAGGUUCAAUUCAACACCUUCCAGUGUUCGGUCUCUUUUCAGGUUAUUGAGCGCUCUUUAAUUUGUCUGGGUAUUUUUGCCUUUUUCAUCGUAAAGCUUCUGAUCAUCCUUGGCCUAGUUUUGGUAAGAGUCUUAUAAAUCUCUGUUUGGAGUGUGCAUUUGAAAAAGCAUAUGCACAUUAGUGGUAGGGGAAAAGAUUGAAAGAGGACGGGAACGGAGUUUCUGUCCUGUAGAUCAGUAAAAAAUAAUAAUAAUAAAAAAAAACAGUAUAAACUGGAUUUGUUGGUAGUGUAACCAGAGAUAAUUGUUAAAGAUCUGGGGCUCUAUUUUACACCCUGUGCAUGGCAUGUUGCAAUGCUUAUUGCUAUCUUACCCCCCACCAACAGUCUAUUUUCAUGCCUUCUGCCUGCGUCAUUAAAUAGUGAUUGACUUUAGGAAUAUAUCUACGCAGAUGGCCAUGGUGAUCUGAAAAUAAGGUGUGUUCAGGUACAUUUUUGGUGUAUUGCUAUCUUGGUGGUGCACAGAAACAGAUGGGCUGAUGUCCAUUUAUAUCUUAGCUUUGCAGGUGCGCUGCGAAUUCUCAGCACCUAUAGAUCGCUAAAUUAGGGCACCUGGAUUGUAAAAUAAAGAAGUAGGAGCGAUCAGAACACCUACAGAAUCCAGCAGCAUGCUUUCAGUAUUAGUGAGCUGAAUGAUAGUUCUGUGUUUAGAUUUGUGUGGAAUGUGUGGGCCAAUAGAUAACUGAGAGCAAAAAAGGGGAUUACAGAUGUGUCCAGACACACAGUCCAGUUCAGUACAGUAAUGAAUGUUUUUUUUUAUUCACAGUUCAUUAAACAAUGCUGCCAGCACAUCUGAAAUCUCAACACCAAGGGAAGAGAACAACCCCAAAGAAUAUGAAGAAGAGGAAAAGCGAAAAGUGGCUUGUAUGUGAAUGUUGACCAACUUAUGACCUGAUUUAGACCUGAGAUUUAAGACUUACAAAAGUGCAGUGUUUAAAGGAAGUG
Molecule: long non-coding RNA, 1079 nt
Filed under: Astyanax mexicanus (Mexican tetra)
Lineage: Eukaryota; Metazoa; Chordata; Actinopteri; Characiformes; Acestrorhamphidae
Description: lncRNA (ENSAMXG00005020694.1)
Source: RNAcentral